GUGGGGAAUAUUGGACAAUGGGGGGAACCCUGAUCCAGCCAUGCCGCGUGUGUGAAGAAGGCCUUUUGGUUGUAAAGCACUUUAAGCGAGGAGGAGGCUACCGAGAUUAAUACUCUUGGAUAGUGGACGUUACUCGCAGAAUAAGCACCGGCUAACUCUGUGCCAGCAGCCGCGGUAAUACAGAGGGUGCAAGCGUUAAUCGGAUUUACUGGGCGUAAAGCGCGCGUAGGUGGCCAAUUAAGUCAAAUGUGAAAUCCCCGAGCUUAACUUGGGAAUUGCAUUAGAUACUGGUUGGCUAGAGUAUAGGAGAGGAUGGUAGAAUGCGAGGUGUAGCGGUGAAAUGCGUAGAGAUCUGGAGGAAUACCGAUGGCGAAGGCAGCCAUCUGGCCUAAUACUGACACUGAGGUGCGAAAGCAUGGAGAGCAAACAGGAUUAGAAACCCGUGUAGUCC
RNAcentral lists this ribosomal RNA (451 nucleotides) under uncultured bacterium. RNAcentral's name for it is "partial 16S ribosomal RNA". It matches the Rfam family "Bacterial small subunit ribosomal RNA", at positions 354 to 796 of the family's 1533-position model. The record is from RNAcentral.